This 438-nucleotide ribosomal RNA is filed under the name Polynucleobacter sp. Fw70-15. RNAcentral's name for it is "bacterial SSU rRNA". It matches the Rfam family "Bacterial small subunit ribosomal RNA", at positions 30 to 466 of the family's 1533-position model. Lineage: Bacteria; Pseudomonadati; Pseudomonadota; Betaproteobacteria; Burkholderiales; Burkholderiaceae. The record is from RNAcentral.
AUUGAACGCUGGCGGCAUGCCUUACACAUGCAAGUCGAACGGCAGCACGGGUGCUUGCACCUGGUGGCGAGUGGCGAACGGGUGAGUAAUACAUCGGAACGUACCUUAUCGUGGGGGAUAACGCAGCGAAAGCUGUGCUAAUACCGCAUACGCCCUGAGGGGGAAAGCGGGGGAUCGAAAGACCUCGCGCGAUUAGAGCGGCCGAUGCCUGAUUAGCUUGUUGGUGGGGUAAAAGCCCACCAAGGCGACGAUCAGUAGCUGGUCUGAGAGGACGAUCAGCCACACUGGGACUGAGACACGGCCCAGACUCCUACGGGAGGCAGCAGUGGGGAAUUUUGGACAAUGGGGGCAACCCUGAUCCAGCAAUGCCGCGUGAGUGAAGAAGGCCUUCGGGUUGUAAAGCUCUUUUGUCAGGGAAGAAACACCGGCUCUAACACA